GAUGAACGCUGGCGGCGUGCCUAAUACAUGCAAGUCGAGCGAACAGACGAGGAGCUUGCUCCUCUGACGUUAGCGGCGGACGGGUGAGUAACACGUGGAUAACCUACUUAUAAGACGGGGAUAACUUCGGGAAACGGGAGCUAAGACCGGAUAAUAUAUUGAACCGCAGGGUUCAAUAGUGAAAGACGGUUUUGCUGUCACUUAUAGAUGGAUCCGCGCCGCAUUAGCUAGUUGGUAAGGUAACGGCUUACCAAGGCAACGAUGCGUAGCCGACCUGAGAGGGUGAUCGGCCACACUGGAACUGAGACACGGUCCAGACUCCUACGGGAGGCAGCAGUAGGGAAUCUUCCGCAAUGGGCGAAAGCCUGACGGAGCAACGCCGCGUGAGUGAUGAAGGUCUUCGGAUCGUAAAACUCUGUUAUUAGGGAAGAACAAAUGUGUAAGUAACUAUGCACGUCUUGACGGUACCUAAUCAGAAAGCCACGGCUAACUACGUG
This 497-nucleotide ribosomal RNA is filed under the name uncultured bacterium. RNAcentral describes it as "partial 16S ribosomal RNA". It matches the Rfam family "Bacterial small subunit ribosomal RNA", at positions 28 to 507 of the family's 1533-position model. The record is from RNAcentral.